GUGCUCGCUCCAGCAGCACUUAUGCUAAAAUUGGAAAGAUACAGAGAAGAUUAGCAUGGCCCCUGCACAAGGAUGACAUGUAAAUUCAUGAAGUGUUCCAUAAAAUA
This 107-nucleotide small nuclear RNA is filed under the name Prolemur simus (greater bamboo lemur). Lineage: Eukaryota; Metazoa; Chordata; Mammalia; Primates; Lemuridae. The record is from RNAcentral.